AGUGACGUCAAGUCAGCAUGGCCUUUAUUAUCCUGGGCGUACACACACGCUACAAUGGGAAGGGACAAUAGGUUGCGAAGCCGCGAGGCGGAGCCAAUCCAGCAAAACUUCCCUCAGUUCAGAUUGCAGGCUGCAACUCGCCUGCAUGAAGAUGGAGUUGCUAGUAAACGCAGGUCAGCCAUACUGCGUUGAAUACGUUCCCGGGGCUU
RNAcentral lists this ribosomal RNA (209 nucleotides) under uncultured Anaerolineaceae bacterium. RNAcentral's name for it is "partial 16S ribosomal RNA". It matches the Rfam family "Bacterial small subunit ribosomal RNA", at positions 1178 to 1382 of the family's 1533-position model. The record is from RNAcentral. Lineage: Bacteria; Bacillati; Chloroflexota; Anaerolineae; Anaerolineales; Anaerolineaceae.